GAUGAACGCUGGCGGCGUGCCUAACACAUGCAAGUCGAACGGAGUCCAGCCUUUAAGACCUUCGGGUCAAAGAGGGGAAGACUGAGUGGCGGACGGGUGAGUAACACGUGGGCAACCUGGCUCAUAGAGGGGGAUAACAGAGAGAAAUUUCUGCUAAUACCGCAUAAGCACACACUGCCGCAUGGCAGAGGGUGAAAAGAGAAUCGCUAUGAGAUGGACCCGCGUCUGAUUAGCCAGUUGGCAGGGUAAGAGCCUGCCAAAGCGACGAUCAGUAGCCGAUCUGAGAGGAUGAACGGCCACAUUGGGACUGAGACACGGCCCAAACUCCUACGGGAGGCAGCAGUGGGAGAUAUUGCACAAUGGGGGGAACCCUGAUGCAGCGACGCCGCGUGAGUGAAGAAGUAUUUCGGUAUGUAAAGCUCUAUCAGCAGGGAAGAUAAUGACAGUACCUGAAGAAGAAGCCCCGGCUAACUACGUG
This 478-nucleotide ribosomal RNA is filed under the name uncultured bacterium. Its description in RNAcentral is "partial 16S ribosomal RNA". It matches the Rfam family "Bacterial small subunit ribosomal RNA", at positions 28 to 507 of the family's 1533-position model. The record is from RNAcentral.